UAUAAAUAAUUCCACUUUGAAACUGCGAAUGGCUCAUUAUAUCAGUUAUAGUUUAUUAGAAAUAAUUUACUACUUGGAUAACCGUAGUAAUUCUAGGGCUAAUACAUGAGUAAAUCCUCGACUUUGAAGAGGUGUGUUUAUUAGUAUGAAAACCAUAUGCUUUUGCAUAAUAGUGAGUAAUAAUAACCUUUCAUAUCGUAUGUUGUAAUAACGAUAGUUCUUUCAAGUUUCUGCCCUAUCAGCUUUCGAUGGUAGUGCAUUGGACUACCAUGGCAGUAACGGGUAACGAAGAAUUUGGGUUCGAUUUCGGAGAGGGAGCCUGAAAGAUGGCUACCACAUCCAAGGAAGGCAGCAGGCGCGUAAAUUACCCAAUCCUGACAUAGGGAGGUAGUGACAAUAAAUCACAAUGCGGGACUUUUAGUUUUGCAAUUGGAUUGAGAACAAUGUAAAAGAGUUAUCGAUAAACAAUUGGAGGGCAAGUCUGGUGCCAGCAGCCGCGGUAAUUCCAGCUCCAAUAGCGUAUAUUAACGUUGUUGCAG
RNAcentral lists this ribosomal RNA (539 nucleotides) under Blastocystis sp. RNAcentral's name for it is "SSU rRNA". It matches the Rfam family "Eukaryotic small subunit ribosomal RNA", at positions 64 to 618 of the family's 1831-position model. The record is from RNAcentral. Lineage: Eukaryota; Bigyra; Opalinata; Blastocystidae.